CAGUAGCCACGGUAAUACGUAGGUGGCAAGCGUUGUCCGGAAUUAUUGGGCGUAAAGGGCUCGCAGGCGGUUUCUUAAGUCUGAUGUGAAAGCCCCCGGCUCAACCGGGGAGGGUCAUUGGAAACUGGGAAUCUUGAGUGCAGAAGAGGAGAGUGGAAUUCCACGUGUAGCGGUGAAAUGCGUAGAGAUGUGGAGGAACACCAGUGGCGAAGGCGACUCUCUGGUCUGUAACUGACGCUGAGGAGCGAAAGCGUGGGGAGCGAACAGGAUUAGAUACCCCGGUAGUCCCUGUCUCUUAUAC
This 301-nucleotide ribosomal RNA is filed under the name uncultured bacterium. RNAcentral's name for it is "partial 16S ribosomal RNA". It matches the Rfam family "Bacterial small subunit ribosomal RNA", at positions 509 to 807 of the family's 1533-position model. The record is from RNAcentral.